Molecule: long non-coding RNA, 2328 nt
Organism: Callorhinus ursinus (northern fur seal)
Lineage: Eukaryota; Metazoa; Chordata; Mammalia; Carnivora; Otariidae
Source: RefSeq, a predicted model, not a curated record
CUAAGCUGUACCUCCUCUGGGGAGACGAUUUGCCUGAGAUGACUCCGUUGUGAGUGGAAAAGACAAGGACGCAUUGUUCAGUGGACGAUGCCAGAAGGAAUAUGCAAAAUGGGCUCAACCUCUUCAUUCCGAGUCUAGUUCAUGGAUCCCCAUUGGCCCACAGGAUGCCACGUGUGACUCCAUCACACUCUGGCCCCUGGCCUCUUAACGGGCAAGCCCAAGUGUGAUGUGCAGUGUUGCAAGCAAUGCCGUAGGGCACUUCCUGGCAGGAGAGGAACACGUUUCUGCUGACUGGUCUCUUCAAGAGACCACACGCGGGCCUUUGGUGCUUGUUGGCACAGCAAGGCUUCUCCAGUCCAUUGACUCCCAUCUUUCCCAGAGAGCUAUGGGUGAAGCCAGCACCGCCAGAGUGAAAAGGGAUUCUGAGUGAUAGAAUGCUUAGGAUUCUGAUGGGUGCACCUGUCACAUUGGAGAGCAAGAUUUCAGAGGCAGAGGGAUUCAGGGGAAGUCCAGGCCCUGGCACCGUCAUGGGAGAAGGUGACUGAACCUCACUGGAAUACAGGAGUUAAGGCAGAGAGUGGCUGGGAGACAAAGGAGGCACCUGUGGGAAUGUGGAACCCCUCCCUCAUGGUGACAGACUCUGGUGGUGGCAGCAGUGCCACCUGCCCAGUGAUGCCUGGUGACCCAAGGAGCCAGUGGUUUAGACCAUCCUGGAGAUAAGAGGCGCAAAUGGAGAAGUAGGCCAUGAGAGACCCAAUCAUCAUGAAAAUUAUUUGGGUGACACAUGGGCAGAGUGUCUACCUGCGGUUGCUGCCUUUCCUGUCCCAAGACGCAGAGACACAGGUAAACCUCAGAUGCCAACCUCUCUGGUGUUGACAGCGCAUUCCAGGUCUUUCUCGGAAAACAGCCCCUUCUGUCUCAAAAGGGUCCACAGAUGGGGCAAGCUGAGGACAUCUUCCCAAGCCAUAGAAAGCAACACCCAGCCCCGGGAGCCGUUGGACCUGCAGGGCUGUAUUUCACUCUUGGACGGCAGUCAGCAGAUUCUUAAACUCACUCCCUAGCUCCUACCCUGGGGCUGCUAUUCUGCUCCUAUUCAAGGCUCAAAUGCCACCUCAUGCUGCUGGUCCCAACUGGGGACUCUGAGCCCCUCAGAGGCAUCUCCCAAAUAAAACCCAACACCACACUUCCGCACACUCAUUGUGUGGAGUGGUCUCACUCCACUGGGCUCUAUCGAAGCUGCAAAUUCCAGAUUUCUCUCUCUUGUGUUUUUGAACCUGUUUGCUUUUGAUUAUGGUUUGGUUUUGAAAGGGAAGAGUCACACACGAUCCAGCUCCCUGUUUCCUUUCUCAGAUGGAGUAAUAAAGCUUAUUUAUAGUGGAACUGUUUUUUUUUCCAUUAUGGCAUAUUUAAUUUUAUUACUCUACUGCCUUGUGCUUUGAAUUACAUAGGGGAAGCAACGCAUAACAGAAUAUUCCGUUGGUUUUCUUUUUUUCCCCUGGGGUAGUUGAUUGUGGAAAAAAAGGAUGUAGCAUCCUAUUAGUCAUUCUGUACCAUGAUGAUUUUUUUGCCUGUGACCAACAAAAUUACAUUUUACACUCGAAUGAACUCUCCAAAUGGACCCUUCUCUUCAACAUAUGUGGACAUAAGAUUCAAAGUAUGGCCAACCCCAUGCAUCACAUCCAAAGUCCAUUUCAGCUGUGGUUGAUGGUUCUCUCCAGGAAUGCAAUAUGCUGCAAAGCACCAUGGUUUGGGCUUCUGAUGAGAAGUUUGAGCAUGCUAUUUAUUUUGUUCUUCUGUCUUUCUAUUCAAACCAUUUGAAAAGAUCACUGAACUCUAGGUAAUUUGGGACAGCCUUUGGUUAGUCACCUUGGCUCCUUAGCUUAUUUCUCCAUCACUCUGGUGGUCUUUGCUUUCUUAGGCUUGGAAAAAGGACAAGGAAAAUCUCUCUCUUUGGAACCAAGGAGGUUCCUUAAUUGCUCAAAUGGGCUUGCAACAGAUAUGGUUGUAUUUCACGUGAAGCUUUUUCACGUGUUCUAAAGUCUUAGGUUUGAAUCCAUGUUUCUUACCAUUUUUGACCAUGUUUUCUGACUAUGUUUUCUAUCAUGUCGGACCAACUAGGUACUUCAGUGAGAUGCUUCUACCUUUCGUUCGUUUCUAGGAGAGAACAUGGAAUCAGAGGGGAAGGUGUUUGCCAUACUCGAAAUCCCCACAAAUUAGGAGAAAGACUGAUCGAACCCUGUUGUUCUGUCUCAACUUCUACAAAUGAAAGGAAAGUGGAUUUUUAGCAACUUGUGAUGCUCUCCAAUAAAGAGUUGGCAAUGCUGAAUA